RNAcentral lists this ribosomal RNA (468 nucleotides) under uncultured bacterium. Its description in RNAcentral is "partial 16S ribosomal RNA". It matches the Rfam family "Bacterial small subunit ribosomal RNA", at positions 28 to 507 of the family's 1533-position model. The record is from RNAcentral.
GACGAACGCUGGCGGCGUGCUUAACACAUGCAAGUCGAACGGCAAGGCCCUGCUUUUGUGGGGUGCUCGAGUGGCGAACGGGUGAGUAACACGUGAGUAACCUGCCCUUUACUUUGGUAUAACUUCAGGAAACUGGGGCUAAUACCGGAUAGGAGCUCCUGCUGCAUGGUGGGGGUUGGAAAGUUUCGGCGGUUGGGGAUGGACUCGCGGCUUAUCAGCUUGUUGGUGGGGUAGUGGCUUACCAAGGCUUUGACGGGUAGCCGGCCUGAGAGGGUGACCGGCAACAUUGGGACUGAGAGACGGCCCAGACUCCUACGGGAGGCAGCAGUGGGGAAUAUUGCACAAUGGGCGGAAGCCUGAUGCAGCAACGCCGCGUGCGGGAUGACGGCCUUCGGGUUGUAAACCGCUUUCGCCUGUGACGAAGCGUGAGUGACGGUAAUGGGUAAAGAAGCACCGGCUAACUACGUG